Corticium candelabrum is the source of this 318-nucleotide long non-coding RNA. RefSeq lists it as uncharacterized. The record is from RefSeq and is a predicted model, not a curated record. Lineage: Eukaryota; Metazoa; Porifera; Homoscleromorpha; Homosclerophorida; Plakinidae. The transcript has 3 exons.
CUCACUUCUUGUUGGACAGUACGCUAGUUUUGUGGUGGAAAAGUAGGCUGGAUCUGUGUUAAGAACUAUCUAUUCAGUUAUUCCAAGUCUACACAUUCUUCUAUACACGCAUCUUGAGAAGAGUGAAUUGGAACGGCAUGUUAACACCGGAAUUCAACAAAGCAACGCUGUUGUGGACACUACUCUUUUCCUUCAGAAUUCUCAAAUGCGCAUGGGGAUCAUGCUCUGGUUCAACUACGUCUCGCUAUUAUAGCGGUACAGUUAGUGUAUCUCACUAUGGCAAUAGCAUGACCUGCGACUGGACUCUUUAUGCUCGUC